GAAUGUUUUCAUUAAUCAAGAACGAAAGUUAGAGGUUCGAAGGCGAUCAGAUACCGCCCUAGUUCUAACCGUAAACUAUGCCUACUAGAUGUAUGAAUUAUUAGUUAUAAUAAUUUAUGCAUCUUCUCGGAAACGAAAGUCUUUCGGUUCCGGGGGAAGUAUGGUUGCAAAGCUGAAACUUAAAGGAAUUGACGGAAGGGCACCACCAGGAGUGGAGCCUGCGGCUUAAUUUGACUCAACACGGGAAAACUCACCCGGGCCGGACACUAUAAGGAUUGACAGAUUGAUAGCUCUUUCAUGAUUUAGUGGUUGGUGGUGCAUGGCCGUUCUUAGUUCGUGGAUAUGAUUUGUCUGGUUGAUUCCGAUAACGAGCGAGACUUUUAUGUUAUAUUAAAUAUUAUUAUUUUGUUUAUUUUAAUAUAAAUAAUUAAUAUUUUAAUAACAGAUUAAUAGUGUUUAACUAUUUGAGAGAGAGCGAUAACAGGUCUGUGAUGCCCUUAGAUGUCCGGGGCUGCACGCGCGCUACAAUGUAGUGAUCAUUAUGUUCCUGUUUAGAGAUAAAUGGGUAAACAUUGAAAACAUUACGUAACUGGGAGUGAAAAUUGCAAUUAUUUUUCAUGAACGAGGAAUUCCAAGUAAACGUAAGUCAUUAGCUUACAUUGAUUACGUCCCUGCCCUUU
Molecule: ribosomal RNA, 680 nt
Filed under: Strongyloides stercoralis
Lineage: Eukaryota; Metazoa; Nematoda; Chromadorea; Rhabditida; Strongyloididae
Description: SSU rRNA
Rfam family: Eukaryotic small subunit ribosomal RNA
Source: RNAcentral